Long non-coding RNA from Salvia splendens (bonfire salvia), 563 nucleotides. RefSeq lists it as uncharacterized. The transcript has 2 exons. The record is from RefSeq and is a predicted model, not a curated record. Lineage: Eukaryota; Viridiplantae; Streptophyta; Magnoliopsida; Lamiales; Lamiaceae.
CUUUCACAUAAAAAACACAUACUCAACACGUAUAUUAUACAACUCACGGACACAUCUACUGUCUACACAUACCCACUACUUCUAACAAACCCACACGAGCAGCUCCUUUUCCAGCCACCUCUGGCCGUUGUCCGCCACCUCUCCGGCGACGCCUUGGCUUCCAGCAACCCCUCUUCCUCUCCCUUCACAUGGUUUCUUCAUCCUCAUCUUUUCUAACCUCCAUUUAGGGAUUUCAAGAUUGAAGCUUUAAGGAGCGGCGCAUCCGAGGCUCGAGGAUGGACAACCAAACCAAGCUUGAAGAGAUUAUUUUUGGAUUGCAGCUUUCGAGGUUAAGGAGUAGGUGACGGGGCAGCAGUCAACGUGGUCCACGGUCUCCCAGCUACUUUUUUUUUUUUACUAGUAGACCCUUAGGUAUUUUGGGUAAAAUUGAAUUGUUUGGAGAAAAAUCUCUGUAACUUUUAUGCUAUUAUAUUUUGAAUGAUGUAGGUUGUAAUCGAUUAAGCAGGGUAUUUUAUUUUGGUUGGAAUACUAGAUGAAGUAUAUAUAUUUUUAACAUAGUGAUA